Molecule: ribosomal RNA, 447 nt
Filed under: uncultured bacterium
Lineage: Bacteria
Description: partial 16S ribosomal RNA
Rfam family: Bacterial small subunit ribosomal RNA
Source: RNAcentral
AGCGAACGCUGGCGGCAGGCUUAACACAUGCAAGUCGAACGGUUCUUCGGGAUAGUGGCGGACGGGUGAGUAACACGUGGGAACGUACCCUUAGGUUCGGAACAACACGGGGAAACUUGUGCUAAUACCGGAUAAGCCCUUCGGGGGAAAGAUUUAUCGCCUUUGGAGCGGCCCGCGUCUGAUUAGCUUGUUGGUGAGGUAAUGGCUCACCAAGGCUACGAUCAGUAGCUGGUCUGAGAGGAUGGCCAGCCACACUGGGACUGAGACACGGCCCAGACUCCUACGGGAGGCAGCAGUGGGGAAUCUUGCGCAAUGGGCGAAAGCCUGACGCAGCCAUGCCGCGUGGAUGAUGAAGGUCUUAGGAUUGUAAAAUCCUUUCACCGGGGACGAUAAUGACGGUACCCGGAGAAGAAGCCCCGGCUAACUUCGUGCCAGCCGCCGCAGUAA